GUGUCCCUACGGGACGCAGCAGUGAGGAAUAUUGGUCAAUGGGCUUACGCCUAAACCAGCCAAGUCGCGUGAGGGAAGACUGCCCUAUGGGUUGUAAACCUCUUUUGUCAGGGAGCAAUUGGCGCUACGUGUAGCGUUAUCGAGAGUACCUGAAGAAAAAGCAUCGGCUAACUCCGUGCCAGCAGCCGCGGUAAUACGGAGGAUGCGAGCGUUAUCCGGAUUUAUUGGGUUUAAAGGGUGCGCAGGCGGGAGAUCAAGUCAGCGGUAAAA
RNAcentral lists this ribosomal RNA (270 nucleotides) under uncultured bacterium. Its description in RNAcentral is "partial 16S ribosomal RNA". It matches the Rfam family "Bacterial small subunit ribosomal RNA", at positions 334 to 599 of the family's 1533-position model. The record is from RNAcentral.